This 369-nucleotide ribosomal RNA is filed under the name uncultured bacterium. RNAcentral describes it as "bacterial SSU rRNA". It matches the Rfam family "Bacterial small subunit ribosomal RNA", at positions 28 to 400 of the family's 1533-position model. The record is from RNAcentral.
GACGAACGCUGGCGGCGUGCUUAACACAUGCAAGUCGAACGGAAAGGCCCUGCUUGCAGGGUACUCGAGUGGCGAACGGGUGAGUAACACGUGGGUGAUCUGCCCUGCACUUCGGGAUAAGCCUGGGAAACUGGGUCUAAUACCGGAUAGGAGCCAUUUUUAGUGUGAUGGUUGGAAAGUUUUUUCGGUGUAGGAUGAGCUCGCGGCCUAUCAGCUUGUUGGUGGGUAAUGGCCUACCAAGGCGGCGACGGGUAGCCGGCCUGAGAGGGUGGACGGCCACAUUGGGACUGAGAUACGGCCCAGACUCCUACGGGAGGCAGCAGUGGGGAAUAUUGCACAAUGGGCGCAAGCCUGAUGCAGCGACGCCGC